GAAGAUUUAGUUAAAUCAUAACAUUAGUAUGUCAAUCUAAAAUAAUUAUAUCAAGUAAUAAUCUUCU
This 67-nucleotide transfer RNA is filed under the name Therea olegrandjeani. RNAcentral's name for it is "tRNA-Asp". The record is from RNAcentral. Lineage: Eukaryota; Metazoa; Arthropoda; Insecta; Blattodea; Corydiidae.